GCUCGGGGGUGGCGGGGAGGGGGGCGGGGCACGGUUCCCUGGGUUUUUCUGCACAUCUGUUGCAGC
RNAcentral lists this microRNA precursor (66 nucleotides) under Bos taurus (domestic cattle). RNAcentral's name for it is "microRNA bta-mir-2305 precursor". The record is from miRBase by way of RNAcentral. Lineage: Eukaryota; Metazoa; Chordata; Mammalia; Artiodactyla; Bovidae.